GACGAUGUACACGCAAAUCGUAAUGAUCAUGAUGAAGGACAAUGAGAGAACAUUGUUAUGUAACUAAUUCUUAUCAAUGACAUGUAAUAACCUUAUGCCUUUUGUGUUUUGUAGAUAUUAAUGUUCAUAUAUUUCCUUUUAAGUAAGUUUAUAAAAUUAGUAUGUUGUUGUUUAUAACAUACUUCUUUUUCUUUGACAGGUUCAUGGCAACCCCACCAGCGUCCCCUCCGCAGUCAAAUAUUCAGUCACCAACAAAGUCUAGGAUUACUAGAAAAUCAACACGGCUACGGAGGUUGACUGUACGAGCAUUGGAUCAGCCAAAACCAACUGUUUACGUGGAAGCCGCAACUGGCCGAGG
Molecule: long non-coding RNA, 358 nt
Filed under: Glycine max (soybean)
Lineage: Eukaryota; Viridiplantae; Streptophyta; Magnoliopsida; Fabales; Fabaceae
Description: long non-coding RNA (GMAX_LNC004755)
Source: RNAcentral